CACUAUCGUUAACUGAAUACAUAGGUUAACGAGGCGAACCGGGGGAACUGAAACAUCUAAGUACCCCGAGGAAAAGAAAUCAACCGAGAUUCCCCCAGUAGCGGCGAGCGAACGGGGAGCAGCCCAGAGUCUGAAUCAGCUUGUGUGUUAGUGGAACGGUCUGGAAAGUCCGACGGUACAGGGUGAUAGUCCCGUACACCAAAAUGCACAGGUUGUGAACUCGAAGAGUAGGGCGGGACACGUGGUAUCCUGUCUGAAUAUGGGGGGACCAUCCUCCAAGGCUAAAUACUCCUGACUGACCGAUAGUGAACCAGUACCGUGAGGGAAAGGCGAAAAGAACCCCGGCGAGGGGAGUGAAAAAGAACCUGAAACCGUGUACGUACAAGCAGUGGGAGCACCUUCGGGUGUGACUGCGUACCUUUUGUAUAAUGGGUCAGCGACUUAUAUUCUGUAGCAAGGUUAACCGUAUAGGGGAGCCGCAGGGAAACCGAGUCUUAACUGGGCGUUAAGUUGCAGGGUAUAGACCCGAAACCCGGUGAUCUAGCCAUGGGCAGGUUGAAGGUUGGGUAACACUAACUGGAGGACCGAACCGACUAAUGUUGAAAAAUUAGCGGAUGACUUGUGGCUGGGGGUGAAAGGCCAAUCAAACCGGGAGAUAGCUGGUUCUCCCCGAAAGCUAUUUAGGUAGCGCCUCGUGAACUCAUCUUCGGGGGUAGAGCACUGUUUCGGCUAGGGGGUCAUCCCGACUUACCAACCCGAUGCAAACUACGAAUACCGAAGAAUGUUAUCACGGGAGACACACGGCGGGUGCUAACGUCCGUCGUGAAGAGGGAAACAACCCAGACCGCCAGCUAAGGUCCCAAAGUCAUGGUUAAGUGGGAAACGAUGUGGGAAGGCACAGACAGCCAGGAUGUUGGCUUAGAAGCAGCCAUCAUUUAAAGAAAGCGUAAUAGCUCACUGGUCGAGUCGGCCUGCGCGGAAGAUGUAACGGGGCUAAACCAUGCACCGAAGCUGCGGCAGCGACACUAUGUGUUGUUGGGUAGGGGAGCGUUCUGUAAGCCUGCGAAGGUGACCUGUGAGGGUUGCUGGAGGUAUCAGAAGUGCGAAUGCUGACAUAAGUAACGAUAAAGCGGGUGAAAAGCCCGCUCGCCGGAAGACCAAGGGUUCCUGUCCAACGUUAAUCGGGGCAGGGUGAGUCGACCCCUAAGGCGAGGCCGAAAGGCGUAGUCGAUGGGAAACAGGUUAAUAUUCCUGUACUUGGUGUUACUGCGAAGGGGGGACGGAGAAGGCUAUGUUAGCCGGGCGACGGUUGUCCCGGUUUAAGCAUGUAGGCUGGUUGUCCAGGCAAAUCCGGAUAAUCAAGGCUGAGGUGUGAUGACGAGGCACUACGGUGCUGAAGUAACAAAUGCCCUGCUUCCAGGAAAAGCCUCUAAGCAUCAGGUAACAUCAAAUCGUACCCCAAACCGACACAGGUGGUCAGGUAGAGAAUACCAAGGCGCUUGAGAGAACUCGGGUGAAGGAACUAGGCAAAAUGGUGCCGUAACUUCGGGAGAAGGCACGCUGGUGUGUAGGUGAAGUCCCUGCGGAUGGAGCUGAGACCAGUCGAAGAUACCAGCUGGCUGCAACUGUUUAUUAAAAACACAGCACUGUGCAAACACGAAAGUGGACGUAUACGGUGUGACGCCUGCCCGGUGCCGGAAGGUUAAUUGAUGGGGUUAUCCGUAAGGAGAAGCUCUUGAUCGAAGCCCCGGUAAACGGCGGCCGUAACUAUAACGGUCCUAAGGUAGCGAAAUUCCUUGUCGGGUAAGUUCCGACCUGCACGAAUGGCGUAAUGAUGGCCAGGCUGUCUCCACCCGAGACUCAGUGAAAUUGAACUCGCUGUGAAGAUGCAGUGUACCCGCGGCAAGACGGAAAGACCCCGUGAACCUUUACUAUAGCUUGACACUGAACAUUGAGCCUUGAUGUGUAGGAUAGGUGGGAGGCUUUGAAGCGUGGACGCCAGUCUGCGUGGAGCCAACCUUGAAAUACCACCCUUUAAUGUUUGAUGUUCUAACGUUGGCCCCUUACCGGGGUUGCGGACAGUGUCUGGUGGGUAGUUUGACUGGGGCGGUCUCCUCCCAAAGCGUAACGGAGGAGCACGAAGGUUAGCUAAUCCUGGUCGGACAUCAGGAGGUUAGUGCAAUGGCAUAAGCUAGCUUGACUGCGAGCGUGACGGCGCGAGCAGGUGCGAAAGCAGGUCAUAGUGAUCCGGUGGUUCUGAAUGGAAGGGCCAUCGCUCAACGGAUAAAAGGUACUCCGGGGAUAACAGGCUGAUACCGCCCAAGAGUUCAUAUCGACGGCGGUGUUUGGCACCUCGAUGUCGGCUCAUCACAUCCUGGGGCUGAAGUAGGUCCCAAGGGUAUGGCUGUUCGCCAUUUAAAGUGGUACGCGAGCUGGGUUUAGAACGUCGUGAGACAGUUCGGUCCCUAUCUGCCGUGGGCGCUGGAGAAUUGAGGGGGGCUGCUCCUAGUACGAGAGGACCGGAGUGGACGCAUCACUGGUGUUCGGGUUGUCAUGCCAAUGGCACUGCCCGGUAGCUAAAUGCGGAAGAGAUAAGUGCUGAAAGCAUCUAAGCACGAAACUUGCCCCGAGAUGAGUUCUCCCUGAGACUUUAAGUCUCCUGAAGGAACGUUAAAGACGAUGACGUUGAUAGGCCGGGUGUGUAAGCGCAGCGAUGCGUUGAGCUAACCGGUACUAAUGAACCGUGAGGCUUAACCUU
RNAcentral lists this ribosomal RNA (2758 nucleotides) under Klebsiella pneumoniae. RNAcentral describes it as "partial 23S ribosomal RNA". It matches the Rfam family "Bacterial large subunit ribosomal RNA". The record is from RNAcentral. Lineage: Bacteria; Pseudomonadati; Pseudomonadota; Gammaproteobacteria; Enterobacterales; Enterobacteriaceae.